Molecule: ribosomal RNA, 380 nt
Filed under: uncultured bacterium
Lineage: Bacteria
Description: bacterial SSU rRNA
Rfam family: Bacterial small subunit ribosomal RNA
Source: RNAcentral
CGAACGAGACCUUCGGGUCUAGUGGCGCACGGGUGCGUAACGCGUGGGAACCUGCCUUUAGGUUCGGAAUAACUCCCCGAAAGGGGUGCUAAUACCGGAUAAUGUCUUCGGACCAAAGAUUUAUCGCCUUUAGAUGGGCCCGCGUUGGAUUAGCUAGUUGGUGGGGUAAAGGCCUACCAAGGCGACGAUCCAUAGCUGGUCUGAGAGGAUGAUCAGCCACACUGGGACUGAGACACGGCCCAGACUCCUACGGGAGGCAGCAGUGGGGAAUAUUGGACAAUGGGCGAAAGCCUGAUCCAGCAAUGCCGCGUGAGUGAUGAAGGCCUUAGGGUUGUAAAGCUCUUUUACCAGGGAUGAUAAUGACAGUACCGGAGAUAAAG